UGGAAGCUCCAGUGUUUAUUCUUGGUUUAUGCCGUCGCUCGUCCCGAUCUCUGCGACCUCUGUUGGCCGUUGUAAUUAUUACAGCAGUAAAAGGAGGAAGUUAGGUGAAGUCGUAUAACGAGCAGCCAUGCACAGAGUCCGUCCAUCAAAUUUAGUCGACGGCCUGGUGACGGCGCUGUGGAGCAGCAGGCUGGAGUGGCUGUCCAAAGCCUGGGAGAGAAACCUGCCAAACAAACAGCACAUCUGCUCUGCGAGGAGCUUGGCCAAAGGAUUCAUGUCGCUGCUUGGAUUUACUAUCAUUUUUAUCGUAUCAAUGUGUGAUCCCAGGGGUUUUAUCGUCAUGUUGGACAAAGUCGUGUCGUUCUCGCUCAACACUGAAGUCGGCCUGUUUGUCUUCAUCAUGCUGAGAGAAGCCAGAGAGGACAGAUUCCAGCACCUGGCCGUCCCGCUGCCGGUCGGCGACUGCGUCUUCAGCCUCAGCUGGCUGCUGCCCUGCUACUUCCUGUUUGCGGUCACCUACGACGUGCUGCAGACGCUGGCGGACGUGGCUCACUACCUGCACCUGUACAGCCACGGCCUGGAAGCACACGUCCACAACCUGACCGAGAACUUCACGGCAGCCAAUCUGUCCGUCCUGCUCUGA
Molecule: long non-coding RNA, 643 nt
Filed under: Sparus aurata (gilthead seabream)
Lineage: Eukaryota; Metazoa; Chordata; Actinopteri; Spariformes; Sparidae
Description: lncRNA (ENSSAUG00010008027.1)
Source: RNAcentral